UUUUUAAAAAAUAAUUUAAAAUUCAUAAAAUUUAAAAAUGAAAAAAACUAAAGGUUUAGGGUUCAUAAAUGGUCCUCAAGAUUAAAAUCCUUCUAUAAAUGAUUUUUUCAUUUAUAAAUAAUUUUAAAAAGAAAACCAAAAUUUUAUGAAUUUUAAAUUAAAAAAUAAAAAAAAUUUCAUAGGGACCAUUUGUGAUAAGUGUGUAAACCUCAGGGAUGUUUUGUGAUAUAUAUGUAUGCCAC
RNAcentral lists this long non-coding RNA (242 nucleotides) under Prunus persica (peach). Its description in RNAcentral is "long non-coding RNA (PPER_LNC005226)". Lineage: Eukaryota; Viridiplantae; Streptophyta; Magnoliopsida; Rosales; Rosaceae. The record is from RNAcentral.